CCUACGGGGGGCAGCAGUGGGGAAUAUUGCACAAUGGGGGAAACCCUGAUGCAGCGACGCCGCGUGAGGGAAGAAGGAAUUCGUGAUGUAAAGCUCUAUCUGCAGGGAAGAAAAUUACGGUACGUGAGGAAGAAGCCCCGGCUAAAUACGUGCCAGCAUCCGCGGUAAUUCGUAGGGGGCAAGCGGUAUCCGGAUUUACUGGGUGUAAAGGGGGCGUAGGCGGGAAUACAAGUCUGGAGGGAAAGGUUGGGGGUCAAACCUCGGAAUGCCUAUGAAACUGGACGGCUUGAGUGGAGGAGAGGUAAGCGGAAUGCGUGGUGUAGCGGUGAAAUGCGUAGAUAUUAGGAAGAACACCAGUGGCGAAGGCAGCUUACUGGACUGUAACUGACGUUGAGGCUCGAAAGCGUGGGUAGCAAACAGGAUUAGAUACCCCAGUAGUC
Molecule: ribosomal RNA, 440 nt
Filed under: uncultured bacterium
Lineage: Bacteria
Description: partial 16S ribosomal RNA
Rfam family: Bacterial small subunit ribosomal RNA
Source: RNAcentral